Apodemus sylvaticus (European woodmouse) is the source of this 2932-nucleotide long non-coding RNA. RefSeq lists it as uncharacterized. The record is from RefSeq and is a predicted model, not a curated record. Lineage: Eukaryota; Metazoa; Chordata; Mammalia; Rodentia; Muridae. The transcript is spliced from 3 exons.
UUUGAGAUGGGGUUUCAUGUAGCCCUGGCUAGCCUCAAAUUUGCCAGAUAAUACAGGCUGGUAUUAAACUCCUGAUCUGGCCUCACCCUCUCAAGUGCUGGGCUUACACAUGUACAGAACUCCUGGCCUUUUGGAAAAAACAGCCUGUUUUAAAAAUUUGAGACAAUGUCUUGUGCUAAGCCUGGCCUCGAACUUGUUCUGUAGCCUAACAGGCUUUGAAUUAAAAAUCCUCCUGGCCAGACUGGUGGCACCUUUAAUCCCAGCACUUCAGGAGGCAGAGGCAGACUGGUGUACAUGGUGAGUUCUAGAACAGCCAGGGCAAUAUAUUGAGACUGUAUCUCAAAAGAAAACAAACAACAACAAAGAAAGACAAACACAAAACUCCCCUGCCUCCACUUCCUGAGUUGAGGGCCACCAGGCCUGCUUUAGAAAACUUGCAGAUCAAGUUCUGGGCCCUCCUGCUGCCCCUCAUCCUCUCGGCAGGGUUUCACUGUACAGCUAUGGCUGUGAUCUGGCUUCCUCUGCCCUCCAAACGCUGGGGUUACAAAUGCACCCCACGCCCUGUCUGCUCAUCUGUUUCUACUUCAGGCUAUGCUGCAGUCUAGGUUGUAAGUAGUAGCAAUCUGGAGCCAUUUAUAAAAGUGUCACACAGAGUCACAGCAUAAAAAAAGGUCUCACUGCCAAAAAGCAGAUGGCCUUCACACGAAUUCAAGGCCACGAGAGUCAAUUAUAAACAGUUCCAACAGAAUCCCCAUGUAGAGAACACUGCCUGUGGAGAAAGCCAUCACGGUCACCUCAGACACACAAUGAUCCUGACUGUUGCUUGAUUUGAGCUGAGACGGCUUGGAAUAGACAUGAAUCUGGAAAGUGCUGCCAGGUAGUCUACGGAAUUUGGAGACAAGCUGUGGCCAAGAGCUGGACUCGGGAUCCCUGGACUGGGUGCAUCCUUGGCAGUGGUACAUCAAGCUGUGCUCACCAUCUUUCCGCCUGUUGCCCGCAUAUGGUGCUGCUCAGCCAGCCAGUGCUUGUCUUGAGGAUCUGCUGCAUACUGAGAGGGAUAAAGUUAGUGGAGAACAUGUUAGCUUAGUGGGAUGGGUUCUUCUCUUAGCCUGCUGACCAGAUUUUACCAAUGGACCUUGUCCUAGACAGGUGUGUAUAACCAAGGCCUCAUGAAUCUCUACAGUGCAGGCUCCCCAGGGAGCCCGGGGUUGUAUCCUUGCUGCCAGAGUUCAGGUGCAUGUUCACUCUCCCCAGACCCUCUUUCUUAAAAUAUAGGAUCCCUAGAAACACGUGAGUUAUUUUAGAGCCUAUUCAAAACUGACCACAGGUGCCUUCUAACACCUAUUAUUAUUAUGGGCUCAGUAUUUUCUUUAUUUUUGGUUUCUGAUGUAGCCCAAGGUAGGAUUGCCUCUGGAUCUCCCUCUCUCUGCUUCUGAGUACUGAGAUUAUAAGCAUGUGCUAUUACUGGCAGGACUCUAUUUUCUAAAACAAAAGUCAAGAAAUAGCACCCUGGUUCUAGAGUUCAACAUCAAGACAAAAAAGGCUAAACCUCCAGCACUUUGUAGACACACAAGUCUGGGUGGUAAUUUCCGCUAGACUCAGGUUUCUCAUUGGUAGAAUGGGGAGCACUGUCACCAGGCAUGGUGCUGCAUGCCUGUAAUCCUAGCACUUGGCAGGCAGAGGCAGGAGGCCUGAAGUGACUGAGAGCACAGCCUGGGCAGAAGAGACCCUGUGUUGAAGAACAAUCCUAUGGAUUCUAUUGUUAAAGACCACACGGAGCCACUAAAGUGUCCACUGGAGCAAGCCUGAUGUGCUGUAAGGACGGCUCACUCCUUCAGCACUGUGGAUGACGGACAGGAGAGCAGCUCAGAGGCUGCUGUGACAAAUCACAGUGUUAAGCAAUGAAGGGCGGAGGCUGUGGCAACAGUGAGGAAGAGAAAGGGAACAGGACUGCAGUGCACUCACAGGGUAAGGGCUUGACUGGAUGCAGAGGAGGGAAGGAAGGCCAUGGACAAGGAUGGCCAAGCGAAGAGAUAAGCAGGGUCUGAAAAGUGGGCCGAGGGAACAACUGAGCAGAAAACUGCUGCCUGGCACAUGUAAGGUCCUGUGUUCAGUCCCUGGCACAUUAUGAGGCCUUGUGUUCUGUCCCUGGUACAUACAUGAGGCCCCGUGUUCAGUCCCUGGUACAAUAAACAACACAUAAAGUGGAGGUCACUUUUUGUCACAGUGGUACACACCUGUGAGGCCCAGAACCAGUGAGGCUGAGAAGGAUCUUGAGUUCAAGGCUAGCCUAGGCUACAGUGAGAGCCCAUCUCAGAAUAAGAAAACAACAAAAACAAAUGGUUUUUGAAGAAAGAUCCUCAUUACAGUUUUGGAUCUGCUGUGUCUGAGAGCUGGUUUGGAGGUUCUGGCUGGGGGCACAGCACCUGUAUACCUCUAAUCAAAAAUGGCCGUGCUCUGCCAAGAAGGUCAUUCUCCUGGGAUGAGAUGAAGUUUUAGGAGGGGUGCACAUGGAGUGGUGAGGGUGGGAUAGGCCUAGCCUGACAGAUCACUGUAGUCAACUCCAGCACCACUGGGGUGGCUUAUGUUAUAGCCAGAUGGCCCUCAAAUCCUACGUAAGCUGUGUGUGACAUGCCUGUGCAACUUCAGGCAGUCAGUCAGGACUAGCAAACAGGAAGAUGUUACAAGGUUGAAAUCUGAAGGUGUGAGAAGGACAAAGAAACCUGGGGAGUGUCAGACCUGGUCCUGACACUGUAAGCGUGGAUAAGAUCCCUGUGCCCAAGGUGGUCAAGAGACACCAGAGGUCUUACAAAGGAUGAGUUUAAAUCCUAGCAUUCAUAUCAGGUAGCUCACAAACACCUAUAAUUCCAGCUUUAAGGGAAUGUAAUGUUCUCUUCUGAUCUUCAUAAGCACACACACACACACACACACA